UACGUAGGGGGCAAGCGUUGUCCGGAAUUAUUGGGCGUAAAGGGCGCGCAGGGGGUUCCUUAAGUCUGAUGUGAAAGCCCGCGGCUCAACCGCGGAGGGUCAUUGGAAACUGGGGAACUUGAGUACAGAAGAGGAAAGUGGAAUUCCAAGUGUAGCGGUGAAAUGCGUAGAGAUUUGGAGGAACACCAGUGGCGAAGGCGACUCUCUGGUCUGUAACUGACACUGAGGCGCGAAAGCGUGGGGAGCGAACAGG
RNAcentral lists this unclassified non-coding RNA (253 nucleotides) under uncultured Bacillaceae bacterium. Its description in RNAcentral is "contains 16S-23S intergenic spacer region". It matches the Rfam family "Bacterial small subunit ribosomal RNA", at positions 524 to 776 of the family's 1533-position model. The record is from RNAcentral. Lineage: Bacteria; Bacillati; Bacillota; Bacilli; Caryophanales; Bacillaceae.